Molecule: ribosomal RNA, 433 nt
Filed under: uncultured bacterium
Lineage: Bacteria
Description: partial 16S ribosomal RNA
Rfam family: Bacterial small subunit ribosomal RNA
Source: RNAcentral
AACGAACGCUGGCGGCAUGCCUAACACAUGCAAGUCGAACGAGACCUUCGGGUCUAGUGGCGCACGGGUGCGUAACGCGGGGGAACCUGCCCUUAGGUUCGGAAUAACUCCCCGAAAGGGGUGCUAAUACCGGAUAAUGUCUUCGGACCAAAGAUUUAUCGCCUUUGGAUGGGCCCGCGUUGGAUUAGCUAGUUGGUAGGGUAAAAGCCUACCAAGGCGACGAUCCAUAGCUGGUCUGAGAGGAUGAUCAGCCACACUGGGACUGAGACACGGCCCAGACUCCUACGGGAGGCAGCAGUGGGGAAUAUUGGACAGUGGGCGAAAGCCUGAUCCAGCAAUGCCGCGUGAGUGAUGAAGGCCUUAGGGUUGUAAAGCUCUUUUACCCGGGAUGAUAAUGACAUUACCGGGAGAAUAAGCUCCGGCUAACUCCGUG